This 457-nucleotide ribosomal RNA is filed under the name Tricholoma flavovirens. RNAcentral describes it as "eukaryotic LSU rRNA". The stretch from base 74 to 227 matches the Rfam family "5.8S ribosomal RNA". Lineage: Eukaryota; Fungi; Basidiomycota; Agaricomycetes; Agaricales; Tricholomataceae. The record is from RNAcentral.
GGUUUUAUAAUAUACACCUAAAGUAUGUUUCAGAAUGUCAUUUAAUGGGCAUAACUGCCUUUAAUUACCAUACAACUUUCAACAACGGAUCUCUUGGCUCUCGCAUCGAUGAAGAACGCAGCGAAAUGCGAUAAGUAAUGUGAAUUGCAGAAUUCAGUGAAUCAUCGAAUCUUUGAACGCACCUUGCGCUCCUUGGUAUUCCGAGGAGCAUGCCUGUUUGAGUGUCAUUAAAUUCUCAACCUUUUCAAUCUUUUAUUGGUUGAAUUAGGUUUGGAUGUGGGAGUCUUUUUGCUGGCUUCUUUAAGAGGUCGGCUCUCCUUAAAUUUAUUAGCAGGACCUUUGUUGCCCUCUCAGUGUUAGUGUGAUAAUUAUCUACGCUAUUUGCUGAAAGCAACUCAUAAAAUAGGGUUUCCAGCUGCUAAUCGUCUCUUGUAGACAAUUUAUAGACAAUUGCCUC